GAAUCUGCAGGACAGAAUACGAGUGGGCAACAUAUUAUGGAAAGUUGACUUUUGUACUGUUUGUAGACAAACUGGUGAGUCUCUGGAAUGCCAUCAAGUGUAACAUUAAGGAAAAGCUGUCUAUUUUCCUGAAAAUGUGUCUGAGAGCAAGUUGUUUCAGGUUUCUCCGCCCAUGACUUGGAAGCUCGGCUGGGGAAAGACCCAGCACCACCUUCAAGCCAGAGUCAUACUACACUGUCAAAGCCGAAAUCAACGAUCAAGUAUCUCUGCCCAUGAUCUGGAGCUAGGUGACGACCUGAACCCCCUAUAGAGUACCACCCCCUCAAGUUCCAGGAGACUGAAAUAAUCGUAGAGCUUGAGUGGCUCCACGUACAUGUCGAAGCCCAGCGUGGACAUGGCGAACAGGAUGUCCUCACCGUUGAUGGUCUUGCGCUUCUCCUGGUGGCAGCGCUCGCUGGCCUCACUCGUGAUGAAGCUGAUGAACUCGCU
This is a long non-coding RNA of Phyllopteryx taeniolatus (common seadragon), 489 nucleotides long. RefSeq lists it as uncharacterized. The transcript has 4 exons. The record is from RefSeq and is a predicted model, not a curated record. Lineage: Eukaryota; Metazoa; Chordata; Actinopteri; Syngnathiformes; Syngnathidae.